ACGAAGGCUCAUAUCCGGCAACAUUGAUGCCUUCAGGUAGCUUAUGUGGGUUUAUUGACCAGUUGCCAUCGCCCAAAAAGAUCACGUGCUCGUGACGCCUGCGGCAGAAAGGAUGUUCCACAUCCGCCGCCAUGGUUUGUGAGUGGUGGC
Dermacentor silvarum is the source of this 150-nucleotide long non-coding RNA. RefSeq lists it as uncharacterized. The transcript has 3 exons. Lineage: Eukaryota; Metazoa; Arthropoda; Arachnida; Ixodida; Ixodidae. The record is from RefSeq and is a predicted model, not a curated record.